GACAGGCAAAUCCUCUACCACAUAGCUGUAUCCUGGUCCCAAAGGGUGAUGUCCCACUGGGCAUGGAGGGAAUUAAGUAGAGGAUAGAAAAGAUUCUUCCUACAGACUCAGAAUGGAAAUCAAGGUUUCAAGGGCCCUCAUGCCCUUAGACUCUCAGUGAAACUCUUUCUUAAAAAGUUAAGAUUACUAGUGACCCAGCAAUGCAAAUGAGACAUUUAAAAGAACUGAAAGGUUAGGUUCACAAAACAGAUUAUAGUUACGUGUUUAUAGGUACUUUAUUCUUAUAUACUAUAAAUGGGAACACUCAAGAAUCCCUUAAUGGAGGAAUGGUUGAACAGCUCCAUCCAUAUAUCCAUAACAUGGAAUGCUGCUGGGCAGUAAAAAGAAUGAACUACGGAUACAUGCAACAACAUGGGUGACUCUCCAAUACAUUCAGUAAAAAACACCAGAUUGAAAUGGCUCCACAGGAUGAGAUUCUGGGAAUGGUGAAGCCAUGGCAACAGAAAACAAAGCAGGGUAUGCAGGGGUUAGGGCUUCCCGUUUGGGCAUGGAGAGCUGUGGGUGCUGAGGCAGGUUGUAUGCUUGAUUGUGGCGACUGCACACCAUGUGACUCUGAAACCCACAGAGCUGUAUGCUAAAGAGUGAAUCUUAUUGUAUGUAAACUGUACUCAAGAAGGUUGGCCUUUGGGGUUGGGGUGUAGCUCAGUGGUAGGUCACUUGCCUAUAUGCACAAGGCCCUGGGCUCUAUCCCUAGCACUUCAAAACACGCAAACAAACAAAGAAAAACAAAAAUAACAACAAGCCUGGUUGUUUCUUGGUGUGUCUUAACUGCAGUUAUUUCCUCUCCUAUUUUCUUCGAGCAUUGUGAGGAUUUUCUUUCCUUUUUGCAGCUCUUGAGAAUGGGGCUUCAUGGCAGCUUGGCCUCAUUGGCCCCGAGGCCUCUGCUCAAUUGCAGAUCUCAGAACUGAAAACACAUCAAUCUUCACUCUACAAAUGCCCAAACUGGGCUCCAAGGGAGGAAGGACACCCUGCCUGCAGGCUGGUAAGGGAAGGCUCACCCUGCCCAGCGGUACUGGAACUGGGUAUUCCCAAUAACAAGCUGAGCUCAGGCAGGAGGGAGACACAAGGUAGUGACACCUUGGGGCUGGAGCCAGUGGCUCACUAUUGGUGCUCCCCCUCCUCUCAGUGUCUGAAGGUAGUGCGACAGGGGUCACCCUGAGCACAACAAUAACCUCUAUACAACAGUAUUUUCCAGAUUGAAUUCUCUCAUGUUUACUUUCAAAUUUAAUGACUUUAAUAGUCAUCCAACCUGUUUAUUUUGAUUUGCUGGUAAUAUGUAAACCCUCUUAUUUAACUUUCAUUUUGCUAGCCUAUCCAACGUAAAAUGAACAAUUGCUAAACUGUUUCCUAAUUUUAUAACUUAAAAAUGUCUUUCUUGGAAAAUCUUUUUGAUAUGAAUAAAAUAUCUUUCAGAGCCAUCAUUUAGAGGGGGCUUCUCUCCAACAUGAGCUACCUGAUGUUGAGUAAGGUCUGAACCCUCGCUGACAGCCUUUCCACAUUCUUGACAUUUAUAUGGUUUCUCCCCAGCGUGGCGGCUUCUCUGGUACUCAACGGGUUGUGGGGUAGGGCUGAAAGUCUUCCCACAUUCACUGCACCCCAGGGAUUUCUCACCAGUGUGGAUUGUCCAGUGCAGAAUGAGGUCUGCACCAUGGCUGAAGGCUCUGCCACGUCGCUCUCCAGUGGGCAUCAGGCUGGGGCCACCCUUUCUACGCUGGCGAGGAUUAUCUCCCGUGUGAAUGUGCUGAUGCUGUGUGAGGGUUGACCUCCGGCUAAAGGCCUUCCCACAGGCCCGGCACUCGUAGGGCUUCUCGCCAGUGUGGACACGCUGGUGCAGGGUGAGUUGGGAGCUCUGGCUGAAGGCUUUCCCACACUCAGAGCACUGAUAUGGCUUCUCCCCUGUGUGCACUCUGCGAUGCUGCACCAGAGUGGAACUCCGGCUGAAGGCCCUGCCACACUCACCACACACAUAAGGCUUCUCUCCAGUGUGAAUCCGUGUAUGUUCAGUAAGGUGAGAAUUGAAACCAAAGGCCCGGCCACACUCCUGGCACACGUAGGGCUUUUCUCCAGUGUGGACCCUAUGAUGGAGGAAAAGGCUGGAGCUCUGGCUGAAGGCCUUGCCACACUGACUGCACUUGUGGGGCUUCUCCCCAGUGUGGAUCCUCUGGUGCUGAAUGAGGCUGGAGCUCCGGCUGAAGGCCUUGCCACACUGACUGCACUUGUGCGGCUUCUCCCCAGUGUGGAUCCUCUGGUGCUGAGUUAACUGGGGGCUCUGGCUGAAGGCUUUGCCGCACUCCUCACACUUGUGAGGCUUCUCUCCUGUGUGAAUGACGCGAUGCUGAAUGAGGCUGGAGCUUCGACUGAAGGCUUUCCCACAUUCACUGCACCCAAAGGGUCUUUCUCCAGUGUGAAUUCUCCGAUGCAGAAUGAGGUAGGAAUUGAGCCCAAAAGUCUUCCCACAUUCUUCACAUUUAAACGGUUUGCUGCCAGUGUGGACUCGGCGGUGCAGGAUGAGGCUCGCGCUGUGUGUGAAGGCUCGCCCACACCAACUGCACUCAUAGGGCUUUUCCCCUGUGUGGCGCCUAUGAUGUCGACGGAGGUCUGAAUUAUAUUUGAAGGUUUUGCUGCAUAUAUCACAUUUAAAGACUCUCUCUCCUGUUUUAUUCCUUUGAAGUCUAACAACAUUUUGGUUUGGAUUUAAAUGUCUAUCAACAUUUAAAGAACACUCCUGGACACUCUCUCUUGGAGGCUGCUCCCUACAUAGGACAGAUUCCUCUCUAAAAACUCUAUUGUGCAGAUGGGGUUUCUUCAGACUCUGGCCAGCAGUGUUUCCCAGGCUCCCUUUUCCCUUCCCCUCCAGGUCCCAAGGAUCCUGGAACACAGGUGUCUGUGAAUUGGCCCUUGAGAAUCUUCUUGAUACAAAUGCUGGGCUCUUCACAUCUUCAGAACACUCCUGGUUUAAAAUGGACAGUUCCUUCUCAGUCCCAGUAUCAGAAUCUGUUACACAAAACAUAAAGGAAUUACUAGAGGACACCACUGUUCAGCAACACUCUUACACAGAUCCUUACUUGGAAGGCAGAUGUUCCAGUAGCAGAUGUGCUAUGCAUGACUCAGGAGCGCAAGAGGCAAAAUGGCCAGUCACAGGAUGAAAGCUCAGUCCACCAGGUACCACAGGAGGGAAACUCAAGCAAAUUAUGAUUUUUUCACCUAUCAAACUAGCAAAUGAAUCUGCCAACAGGCUGCUCCAGGUAAGGAACACAAUAGGAAGCCAGAGAGCCUCUGGUCUCAGGAAGCUCACUGUAUAUUGAGGAAGAAAAUCAAAUACUUUUUUUUUUUUUUUUAAAUGAAAUAACACAGAGGCUGGGAUUGUGGCUCAGCGGUAGAACGCUCGCCUAGCACUUGCGAGGCCCUGGGUGCGGUCCUCAGCACCACAUAAAAAUAAAUAAAAUAAAGGCAUUUUGUUCAACUACACCUAAAAAAAAUAAUAUUAAAAAAAUGAAAUAACAUGGAUAAUGGAAACUAUUGAAAAUACAGAACCAUCUCCUGCAGCCUAUGUGGUCAGAAGAUCCCAGGAGCAUGCGUGGCUUCAGAGGGAGCAAGAGCCAAUGGGUCAGCAGUUGCAGAAGGCAGGCCUGGGUGAGAUGGAGAACCACCAAGUCCAGGAAUGCAAGGAGCCUGCCACGGCUAGAGCAAGAAGGCGGGUGGAGGUUGCUGUGCUGCGUUGAUUCCCACACAGAGAAGUAAAGGAAUAAUUCCUGUCCUGUACUGUGGGAUGGACUAUAAAUAAAUAGAGCUUUUUAAAGGGAAAGUUGGUAACACAUAGCAAAAGAAUUAAUAUUACACACCUUUGUUCCCAAAAUUGUUCUUCAAGAGUCUAUGCUAAGUCAACUGUCAUUUGCACAAAGAAAUGAUUAUUAUGACCAUCCCUGAAAUGUUCUCCCUAAUUAUGGGGAAACAAGAAAGAAUUCAAAUAUUCAAAAAACAGAGGACAGGGCUGGGUGUGGCACAGUGAUAGAGCACUUGCCUGGCAUGCAGGAGGCCCUAGGUUUAUCUCCAGCACUGCAAAAAAAAAGAAAGAAAAAAAAAGAGUAUUGUUUAAGUCAGCGAUAGACGAGUCAUAUAAUGGAAUACCUUUCUGACAUUAUAAUUAUAUAAUAGAAUAUAUAGUUAAAGGAAAAGUCUAUGACAUAAACUGAAAAAUCAGUUUCUAAAAUAAUACACACAGCAUAAACCAACUUUAACUGAAAAUACAUAUGGAAGAUAAGUGCUAUUUCUUCCUUAAAUGUUUGGUAUAAGCUGGCGAAACCAUCUGGGCUUGGCAUUUUCUCUGAGAUAGGAAUUUUAUUUACUGAACCAAUUUCUUUAAUACUUAAAAGAUCAUGUAUUAAUGCUUUCUUGUGUCAACCUUGACAAAUUGUGUUUU
This 4480-nucleotide long non-coding RNA is filed under the name Marmota monax (woodchuck). Lineage: Eukaryota; Metazoa; Chordata; Mammalia; Rodentia; Sciuridae. The record is from RNAcentral.